ACAAAAAAUAUUUUUUAUAUAUAAAUAAAAUGAUCAAAUAUAUAAAAGAAACUAUCGAUAAUAUAUACAAAUAAAAUCACUAUGCGCAAGGCGCAGAUCUUAUCCUAGUUUUAUGUUACAUCAGGUGCUACUCUUUCUAAUGAAUGUUUAAAGAAUAAAACAACAAAAUAAUGUUUGAAUAAAAGAAUGCAUACAGCAUACCUAUUUUGUUGCUUUAGGCUUCAACAAUGUCAUCUCUCCCAUUUCUUUGAUAGAGAUCAAUCAUUCUAUUUCUUAUAUGGUUUAAUCAGUUUUAUUUUAUAUUAAAAAUUCUACGUGUUUUUUUAGCUAGAUUCUUUUCUCAUAUGUUUUCAAUUUUAUUUCAUAUUAAGAUAUAUUCCCUCCGUUCCUAAAAGAUCCAUGUUUUAGAAUUUUCAUAUUUUUUAAUAAAAUAUAUUAAAACUUAGCUAUAAAUGCAUAGUUUUUUGUAAUUUUAUAUUUCUUAUAUUUUUAAACCAAUAAGAUUUUAUGAAAUGCAAUUAAUGUUCUUGAAUUUCACAAUUUCUCAUCAUUAGUCGACAUAAAUUACAUUGAAAAUAUAAAAUAUGUAUCUUUUUGAAACAAAUUUUUUUUCUAAAAUAUGGAUCUUUUAGUAACGGAAGUAGUGUGUUGUAAAUGAUACAAAGGCAUUUAAUACAUCCAUACAAAAAUAACCACAUCGCAAUUCACAUCAUAUUCUUGUUCUUGUGAAUUGAAUAUACGGACGACAUUACUUAUACGUCACGCCGCAACUUUCAUACCACCGAACAAAAUAUAUUAUAAAAGUACAAAACUUAAUUGAAUUUCAUGAGUACUUUUCCCAGUAACAGCUCUUCAUUUCUUUUUCACGUUUAUAAACAACAAAAGAAAAUUCAUCGCAGAGCUAAUAAGAUGAACGUGAAAGUAUGAAUCAUGUGAUUGUAAUAGAAUCAGUAAUCACUAAUCACGGGUUUUUGAUGACAGUUUCAUUGAUUGAAACUGAUUCCAGCUAUUCCAACUUAUAAGAAAGCAAUGUAUUUCCUCGUUUAAGCAAUCUGCAUCGAAAACUCAAUGGGGACUACACUAAUAGCAAACAGCAGAUGCAAAAUUUGAAUAAAAGGAAAUGUUAUUGGAAUGAAAUUUACCAAAACGUAUAUUAAUUUCAGCAGUUAUAAAAUCGCGAAGAACAAUGUGUAACCCGAUCACUGAAGAACAAAGAUAUGGUCGCCUUGGCCGUCAUCAGCGCGGAGAUCUGCCUCAGACUUCUUCUCUGAUCCUUAAGACUCACAUCCUCUAUCGACUAUGAUUAAAGCCCUCCCUCUUCCUUUCUGGUUUCAACUCCUGGUUCUACAUCUAAGAGCUCUGUACAUCCAUUCCCUUUGACACUCUCCAAUCCGAGCUCCGGUCACACCUUGCAUUCUUCAAACGCGAAGAUUUUUGAUCUCAUCAAUCGUUAGUUUAAGUACUAAGUUCGUUGUUAUCGAUGAGGUUGAAGUCUGCAUGUGUGCCCAGCUCAUUGGUUUUCGUGAGAAUUAUAAGUGAAGUAAGGUUAGAGUAAUAAAGUGCAGAAAAUAAACAACACAUAAGUUUUUCUUUUUGAAUUUACUAGAACAAUAAAGCGUUUACACCAA
Molecule: long non-coding RNA, 1628 nt
Organism: Brassica napus (rape)
Lineage: Eukaryota; Viridiplantae; Streptophyta; Magnoliopsida; Brassicales; Brassicaceae
Exons: 2
Source: RefSeq, a predicted model, not a curated record